AUGAUUUUUGGCAUAUUUGACAGAUUUUUCAUAUUAAUCCUUGAAUCGGGGCGUUUUAAAUGACUUAUUAAGUUAAAAUCUUCCACAUUAACGAAUUGAAUCAAUUGAAAUAGACACUUAAGUGUUUAGAAAAUGUCUAAAAUCUUUCGUUUGAUGAACUUGAAAAUUGAGGCCGAAAUCGGCCCUUACCGGACCUACUCAUUUGUGAAUUUUUGUAUUUCAAACCAGUAAAAGAUUUAUAUUCGUAUUCUAAUUCUUCUUCAAUAAUUAUUUUACUUUUU
RNAcentral lists this long non-coding RNA (281 nucleotides) under Mytilus galloprovincialis (Mediterranean mussel). The record is from RNAcentral. Lineage: Eukaryota; Metazoa; Mollusca; Bivalvia; Mytilida; Mytilidae.